CCUACGGGAGGCAGCAGUGGGGAAUAUUGGGCAAUGGGCGCAAGCCUGACCCAGCAACGCCGCGUGAAGGAAGAAGGCUUUCGGGUUGUAAACUUCUUUUCUCAGGGACGAAGAGAAUAAGGGUCCCUUAGCAUUAAGCCCGGGCUACCUGCGUGCCAGCAGCAGCGGAACUACGUGGGGGGCAAGGGUUUUCCGGAUUUAUUGGGGGUAAGGGGCGGGUAGGCGGGGGGGCAAGUCAGAUGUGAAACCUCAGGGCUCAACCGUGGACCUGCCUUUGAAACUGUGGUUCUUGAGUGCGGGAGAGGCAAACGGAAUUCCGGGUGUAGCGGUGAAAUGCGUAGAUAUAAGGAGGAACACCAGUGGCGAAGGCGGAUUGCUGGACAGUAACUGACGCUGAGGCGCGAAAGCGUGGGGAGCAAACAGGAUUAGAUACCCGGGUAGUC
RNAcentral lists this ribosomal RNA (443 nucleotides) under uncultured bacterium. Its description in RNAcentral is "partial 16S ribosomal RNA". It matches the Rfam family "Bacterial small subunit ribosomal RNA", at positions 338 to 795 of the family's 1533-position model. The record is from RNAcentral.